GGAAGACCAAGGGUUCCUGUCCAACGUUAAUCGGGGCAGGGUGAGUCGACCCCUAAGGCGAGGCCGAAAGGCGUAGUCGAUGGGUAACAGGUUAAUAUUCCUGUACUUGGUGUUACUGCGAAGGGGGGACGGAGAAGGCUAUGUUGGCCGGGCGACGGUUGUUCCGGUUUAAGCGUGUAGGCUGGUUUUCCAGGCAAAUCCGGAAAAUCAAGGCUGAGGCGUGAUGACGAGGCACUACGGUGCUGAAGCAACAAAUGCCCUGCUUCCAGGAAAAGCCUCUAAGCAUCAGGUAACAUCAAAUCGUACCCCAAACCGGCACAGGUGGUCAAGUAGAGAAUACCAAGGCGCUUGAGAGAACUCGGGUGAAGGAACUAGGCAAAAUGGUGCCGUAACUUCGGGAGAAGGCACGCUGAUAUGUAGGUGAAGCGACUUGCUCGUGGAGCUGAAAUCAGUCGAAGAUACCAGCUGGCUGCAACUGUUUAUUAAAAACACAGCACUGUGCAAACACGAAAGUGGACGUAUACGGUGUGACGCCUCCCCGGUGCCGGAAGGUUAAUUGAUGGGGUUAGCCGCAAGGCGAAGCUCUUGAUCGAAGCCCCGGUAAACGGCGGCCGUAACCAUAACGGUCCUAAGGUAGCGAAAUUCCUUGUCGGGUAAGUUCCGACCUGCACGAAUGGCGUAAUGAUGGCCAGGCUGUCUCCACCCGAGACUCAGUGAAAUUGAACUCGCUGUGAAGAUGCAGUGUACCCGCGGCAAGACGGAAAGACCCCGUGAACCUUUACUAUAGCUUGACACUGAACAUUGAGCCUUGAUGUGUAGGAUAGGUGGGAGGCUUUGAAGUGUGGACGCCAGUCUGCAUGGAGCCGACCUUGAAAUACCACCCUUUAAUGUUUGAUGUUCUAACGUUGACCCGUAAUCCGGGUUGCGGACAGUGUCUGGUGGGUAGUUUGACUGGGGCGGUCUCCUCCUAAAGAGUAACGGAGGAGCACGAAGGUUGGCUAAUCCUGGUCGGACAUCAGGAGGUUAGUGCAAUGGCAUAAGCCAGCUUGACUGCGAGCGUGACGGCGCAAGCAGGUGCGAAAGCAGGUCAUAGUGAUCCGGUGGUUCUGAAUGGAAGGGCCAUCGCUCAACGGAUAAAAGGUACUCCGGGGAUAACAGGCUGAUACCGCCCAAGAGUUCAUAUCGACGGCGGUGUUUGGCACCUCGAUGUCGGCUCAUCACAUCCUGGGGCUGAAGUAGGUCCCAAGGGUAUGGCUGUUCGCCAUUUAAAGUGGUACGCGAGCUGGGUUUAGAACGUCGUGAGACAGUUCGGUCCCUAUCUGCCGUGGGCGCUGGAGAACUGAGGGGGGCUGCUCCUAGUACGAGAGGACCGGAGUGGACGCAUCACUGGUGUUCGGGUUGUCAUGCCAAUGGCACUGCCCGGUAGCUAAAUGCGGAAGAGAUAAGUGCUGAAAGCAUCUAAGCACGAAACUUGCCCCGAGAUGAGUUCUCCCUGACUCCUUGAGAGUCCUGAAGGAACGUUGAAGACGACGACGUUGAUAGGCCGGGUGUGUAAGCGCAGCGAUGCGUUGAGCUAACCGGUACUAAUGAACCGUGAGGCUUAACCUU
This 1608-nucleotide ribosomal RNA is filed under the name metagenome. Its description in RNAcentral is "bacterial LSU rRNA". It matches the Rfam family "Bacterial large subunit ribosomal RNA", at positions 1339 to 2925 of the family's 2925-position model. The record is from RNAcentral.